GCCGGAAUAGCUCAGCUGGGAGAGCAACAGACUGAAGACUUGUCGCAAAGCUUUCUGGAGGUCCCGUGUUCAAUCCACGGUUCUGGCA
Peniophora sp. CONT is the source of this 88-nucleotide non-coding RNA. NCBI's taxonomy places the organism in Eukaryota, Fungi, Basidiomycota, Agaricomycetes, Russulales, Peniophoraceae. The record is from Rfam.